CUGCGGAAGGAUCAUUACCUAGAGUUGUAGGCUUUGCCUGCUAUCUCUUACCCAUGUCUUUUGAGUACCUUACGUUUCCUCGGUGGGUUCGCCCACCGAUUGGACAAACUUAAACCCUUUGCAGUUGAAAUCAGCGUCUGAAAAAACUUAAUAGUUACAACUUUCAACAACGGAUCUCUUGGUUCUGGCAUCGAUGAAGAACGCAGCGAAAUGCGAUAAGUAGUGUGAAUUGCAGAAUUCAGUGAAUCAUCGAAUCUUUGAACGCACAUUGCGCCCCUUGGUAUUCCAUGGGGCAUGCCUGUUCGAGCGUCAUUUGUACCUUCAAGCUCUGCUUGGUGUUGGGUGUUUGUCUCCUGUAGACUCGCCUUAAAACAAUUGGCAGCCGGCGUAUUGAUUUCGGAGCGCAGUACAUCUCGCGCUUUGCACUCUUAACGACGACAUCCAAAAGUACAUUUUUACACUCUUGACCUCGGAUCAGGUAGGGAUACCCGCUGAACUUAAGCAUAUCAAU
Molecule: ribosomal RNA, 511 nt
Filed under: Phoma herbarum
Lineage: Eukaryota; Fungi; Ascomycota; Dothideomycetes; Pleosporales; Didymellaceae
Description: eukaryotic LSU rRNA
Rfam family: 5.8S ribosomal RNA (bases 159-312)
Source: RNAcentral